This 285-nucleotide ribosomal RNA is filed under the name uncultured Sphingobacteriales bacterium. RNAcentral's name for it is "partial 16S ribosomal RNA". It matches the Rfam family "Bacterial small subunit ribosomal RNA", at positions 1100 to 1382 of the family's 1533-position model. Lineage: Bacteria; Pseudomonadati; Bacteroidota; Sphingobacteriia; Sphingobacteriales. The record is from RNAcentral.
AACCCUUAUCGUUAGUUGCCAGCGGGUAAAUGCCGGGAACUCUAACGAAAACUGCCGGUGUAAACCGAGAGGAAGGUGGGGAUGACGUCAAAUCAGCACGGCCCUUAUGUCCAGGGCUACACACGUGUUACAAUGGCCGGUACAGAGGGCAGCUACCUGGAGACAGGAUGCGAAUCUCGAAAGCCGGUCUCAGUUCGGAUCGGAGUCUGCAACUCGACUCCGUGAAGCUGGAUUCGCUAGUAAUCGCGCAUCAGCCAUGGCGCGGUGAAUACGUUCCCGGGCCUU